Molecule: non-coding RNA, 205 nt
Organism: Oryza nivara
Lineage: Eukaryota; Viridiplantae; Streptophyta; Magnoliopsida; Poales; Poaceae
Source: Rfam
AAAAAACAUAAACCCUAGUUUCCACGUCCAAUAUUUAACCGUCCGUUUUAUUUGAAAAAAUUAUAAAAAAAUUAAAAAGACAAGUCACACAUAAAAUAUUAGUCAUGUUUUAUCAUCUAACAACAAUAAAAAUACGAAUUAUAAAAAAAUUUCAUAUAAAACGGAUCAUCAAAGUUGAACACGGAAACCCAGGGUUUGCCUUUUU